Molecule: ribosomal RNA, 498 nt
Filed under: uncultured bacterium
Lineage: Bacteria
Description: partial 16S ribosomal RNA
Rfam family: Bacterial small subunit ribosomal RNA
Source: RNAcentral
AUUGAACGCUGGCGGCAUGCUUUACACAUGCAAGUCGAACGGUAACAGGCCGCAAGGUGCUGACGAGUGGCGAACGGGUGAGUAAUGCAUCGGAACGUGCCCAGUCGUGGGGGAUAACGCAGCGAAAGCUGUGCUAAUACCGCAUACGAUCUAUGGAUGAAAGCGGGGGACCGUAAGGCCUCGCGCGAUUGGAGCGGCCGAUGUCAGAUUAGGUAGUUGGUGGGGUAAAGGCCCACCAAGCCAACGAUCUGUAGCUGGUCUGAGAGGACGACCAGCCACACUGGGACUGAGACACGGCCCAGACUCCUACGGGAGGCAGCAGUGGGGAAUUUUGGACAAUGGGCGCAAGCCUGAUCCAGCAAUGCCGCGUGCAGGAAGAAGGCCUUCGGGUUGUAAACUGCUUUUGUACGGAACGAAAAGGUCCGGGUUAAUACCCUGGGCUCAUGACGGUACCGUAAGAAUAAGCACCGGCUAACUACGUGCCAGCAGCCGCAGUAA